GAGGCAUCCUAGUACGGCGAGUGACCGGGAAGAGCUCAAAUUUGAAAUCUGGCGUGCUCAGUGCGUCCGAGUUGUAAUCUAUAGAGUCGUUUUCCGUGCCGGACUGUGUCCAAGUCCCUUGGAACAGGGUAUCAAAGAGGGUGAUAAUCCCGUACUUGACACAAUGACCGGUGCUCUGUGAUACGUCUUCUACGAGUCGAGUUGUUUGGGAAUGCAGCUCAAAAUGGGUGGUGAGUUCCAUCUAAAGCUAAAUAUUGGCGAGAGACCGAUAGCGAACAAGUACCGUGAGGGAAAGAUGAAAAGCACUUUGGAAAGAGAGUUAAACAGUACGUGAAAUUGUUAAAAGGGAAACGAUUGAAGUCAGUCGUGACUGAGAGGCUCAGCCGGUUCUGCCGGUGUAUUCCCCUCAGUCGGGUCAACAUCAGUUUUGUUCGGUGGAUAAGGGCAGUUGGAAGGUGGCACCCUCGGGUGUGUUAUAGCCAGCUGUCGCAUACAUCGGAUGAGACUGAGGAAUGCAGCUCGCCUUUAUGGCCGGGGUUCGCCCACGUUCGAGCUUAGGAUGUUGACAUAAUGGCUUUAAACGACCCGUCUG
This 592-nucleotide ribosomal RNA is filed under the name Papiliotrema flavescens. Its description in RNAcentral is "eukaryotic LSU rRNA". It matches the Rfam family "Eukaryotic large subunit ribosomal RNA", at positions 70 to 655 of the family's 3401-position model. Lineage: Eukaryota; Fungi; Basidiomycota; Tremellomycetes; Tremellales; Rhynchogastremaceae. The record is from RNAcentral.